This 525-nucleotide ribosomal RNA is filed under the name uncultured bacterium. RNAcentral describes it as "bacterial SSU rRNA". It matches the Rfam family "Bacterial small subunit ribosomal RNA", at positions 355 to 895 of the family's 1533-position model. The record is from RNAcentral.
UGGGGAAUCUUGGACAAUGGGGGCAACCCUGAUCCAGCCAUGCCGCGUGAGUGAUGAAGGCCUUAGGGUCGUAAAGCUCUUUCGCCUGUGAAGAUAAUGACGGUAGCAGGUAAAGAAACCCCGGCUAACUCCGUGCCAGCAGCCGCGGUAAUACGGAGGGGGUUAGCGUUGUUCGGAAUUACUGGGCGUAAAGCGCACGUAGGCGGACCAGAAAGUUGGGGGUGAAAUCCCGGGGGCUCAACCCCGGAACUGCCUCCAAAACUAUUGGUCUAGAGUUCGAGAGAGGUGAGUGGAAUUCCAAGUGUAGAGGUGAAAUUCGUAGAUAUUUGGAGGAACACCAGUGGCGAAGGCGGCUCACUGGCUCGAUACUGACGCUGAGGUGCGAAAAGUGUGGGGAGCAAACAGGAUUAGAUACCCUGGUAGUCCACACCGUAAAACGAUGAAUGCCAGUCGUCGGGUAGCAUGCUAUUCGGUGACACACCUAACGGAUUAAGCAUUCCGCCUGGGGAGUACGGUCGCAAGAUU